GUUUUAGAACCAACAAGCAAAAAAAUAAGCUUAUAUGGAAGGAAAAUUAAUCAACCUAAACAUUUUAAAGAUUUUGUUCUUCAAAAUGAAAAGAAAGAAUAUGAGUCAAAAUAUCCUAUGAGUAAUCAUGUCUCAUAUAAUAGGAUAAAUAAGCAACACAAACAAUACUUAAAACAAAUAACAAUUAAUAAUGAGCCAA
Molecule: long non-coding RNA, 199 nt
Filed under: Zostera marina
Lineage: Eukaryota; Viridiplantae; Streptophyta; Magnoliopsida; Alismatales; Zosteraceae
Description: long non-coding RNA (ZMAR_LNC001722)
Source: RNAcentral